This 348-nucleotide long non-coding RNA is filed under the name Gallus gallus (chicken). RNAcentral describes it as "long non-coding RNA NONGGAT001084". Lineage: Eukaryota; Metazoa; Chordata; Aves; Galliformes; Phasianidae. The record is from RNAcentral.
CUGUCCUGGCCCACUUGGUACAUAGAAAAUUUUGGAGCCCACCUACCCUACUGUAGAGCCUUUGUGCUACAGCUCAGACUCAGACGUGAAAACAUAAAUGCCAUAAUGCAAAAGCACCGAAGUCUUCUACUGGAUCUGGCCCAAGUUCCAAUCAGCGUGAUUCUGUUGGACGAAAAUCAUGAACAGUGGGCCAUUAAUCUUAUAGAAAAAAAGGGUCACCAGCAAAUCUGACCUCCACAGUGCCAGCAAAUGAAAUGUGGAUGCAGUAAUUCUGGAUGCCUCAGGACUGCUGAUUGCAGAACCUUCAUGCCUCAUAGUAAUCCUGAGAUACACCAUUUAUUCUGUCAU